Molecule: ribosomal RNA, 425 nt
Filed under: uncultured bacterium
Lineage: Bacteria
Description: partial 16S ribosomal RNA
Rfam family: Bacterial small subunit ribosomal RNA
Source: RNAcentral
GUUAGGAAUAUUGGACAAUGGGCGCAAGCCUGAUCCAGCUAUGCCGCGUGAACGAUGAAGGCCUUCGGGUUAUAAAGUUCUUUAGCCGAUGAUUAUAAUGACAGUAGUCGGAAAAUAAGCCCCGGCUAACUUCGUGCCAGCAGCCGCGGUAAUACGAAGGGGGCGAGCGUUAUUCGGAAUCACUGGGCGUAAAGCGUGCGUAGGCGGCUUUGCAAGUUGGGAGUGAAAGCCCAGGGCUCAACCCUGGAAUUGCUCUCAAAACUGCAAGGCUCGAAUUCGGGAGAGGAUAGCGGAAUUGUCAGUGUAGCAGUGAAAUGCGUAGAUAUUGACAGGAACACCAGUGGCGUAAGCGGCUAUCUGGACCGAUAUUGACGCUGAGGCACGAAAGCGUGGGGAUCAAACAGGAUUAGAAACCCCAGUAGUCC